CUACGGGGGGCAGCAGUGAGGAAUAUUGCACAAUGGGGGGAACCCUGAUGCAGCAACGCCGCGUGGAGGAUGACGCAUUUCGGUGUGUAAACUCCUUUUAUAUGUCAAGAAAAUGACGGUAGCAUAUGAAUAAGCACCGGCUAACUCCGUGCCGGCAGCCGCGGUAAUACGGAGGGUGCAAGCGUUACUCGGAAUCACUGGGCGUAAAGGACGCGUAGGCGGGUUGGAAAGUCAGGUGUGAAAUCCUACAGCUUAACUGUAGAACUGCACUUGAAACUUCUAAUCUAGAGUAUGGGAGGGGGAGAUGGAAUUAGUGGUGUAGGGGUAAAAUCCGUAGAUAUCACUAGGAAUACCUAAAGCGAAGGCGAUCUCCUGGAACAUCACUGACGCUAAGGCGUGAAAGCGUGGGGAGCAAACAGGAUUAGAUACCCCAGUAGUC
This 439-nucleotide ribosomal RNA is filed under the name uncultured bacterium. RNAcentral describes it as "partial 16S ribosomal RNA". It matches the Rfam family "Bacterial small subunit ribosomal RNA", at positions 339 to 795 of the family's 1533-position model. The record is from RNAcentral.